Molecule: ribosomal RNA, 542 nt
Filed under: uncultured bacterium
Lineage: Bacteria
Description: bacterial SSU rRNA
Rfam family: Bacterial small subunit ribosomal RNA
Source: RNAcentral
UAGGGAAUCUUCGGCAAUGGACGGAAGUCUGACCGAGCAACGCCGCGUGAGUGAAGAAGGUUUUCGGAUCGUAAAGCUCUGUUGUAAGAGAAGAACGAGUGUGAGAGUGGAAAGUUCACACUGUAACGGUAUCUUACCAGAAAGGGACGGCUAACUACGUGCCAGCAGCCGCGGUAAUACGUAGGUCCCGAGCGUUGUCCGGAUUUAUUGGGCGUAAAGCGAGCGCAGGCGGUUAGAUAAGUCUGAAGUUAAAGGCUGUGGCUUAACCAUAGUACGCUUUGGAAACUGUUUAACUUGAGUGCAAGAGGGGAGAGUGGAAUUCCAUGUGUAGCGGUGAAAUGCGUAGAUAUAUGGAGGAACACCGGUGGCGAAAGCGGCUCUCUAGCUUGUAACUGACGCUGAGGCUCGAAAGCGUGGGGAGCAAACAGGAUUAGAUACCCUGGUAGUCCACGCCGUACGAUGAGUGCUAGGUGUUAGACCCUUUCCCGGGGUUAGUGCGCAGCUACGCAUUAAGCACUUCCGCCUGGGGAGUACACCAGGUG